Molecule: signal recognition particle RNA, 266 nt
Filed under: Armatimonadota bacterium
Lineage: Bacteria; Bacillati; Armatimonadota
Description: signal recognition particle sRNA large type
Rfam family: Bacterial large signal recognition particle RNA
About the family: The signal recognition particle (SRP) is a universally conserved ribonucleoprotein involved in the co-translational targeting of proteins to membranes. Archaeal SRP consists of a 7S RNA and homologues of the eukaryotic SRP19 and SRP54 proteins. In most bacteria, the SRP consists of a 4.5S RNA and the Ffh protein (a homologue of the eukaryotic SRP54 protein).
Source: RNAcentral
UCGUGCUAGACGGGGAGCCAGCGGUGCCCUGAACCCGCAAUCCGCUUCAGCGGGGUUGAACUCCCGACCGAGGCGCCGGGCUGUUGAGAACGGUCCGGCAAAGCCGUGAUGAUGGCUGGGUCCCGCGCAACAUCGACCCUCCAACUCCGCCAGGACCGGAAGGGAGCAACGGUACGAGGUUUUCGAUGUGUGUUGCGGUAACGCCUGGCCUGAACGGCUGAGCCGGGGGCCGCUUGGGAACUCGCGCGUCGACGAAGGGUGCACGA